This 624-nucleotide ribosomal RNA is filed under the name uncultured bacterium. Its description in RNAcentral is "bacterial SSU rRNA". It matches the Rfam family "Bacterial small subunit ribosomal RNA", at positions 338 to 1251 of the family's 1533-position model. The record is from RNAcentral.
CCUACGGGAGGCAGCAGUGGGGAAUUUUGGACAAUGGGCGCAAGCCUGAUCCAGCAAUGCCGCGUGAGUGAAGAAGGCCUUCGGGCUGUAAAGCUCUUUUGUCAGGGAAGAAACGGCUGAGGUUAAUACCUUUGGCUAAUGACGGUACCUGAAGAAUAAGCACCGGCUAACUACGUGCCAGCAGCCGCGGUAAUACGUAGGGUGCAAGCGUUAAUCGGAAUUACUGGGCGUAAAGCGUGCGCAGGCGGUUUUGUAAGUCUGACGUGAAAUCCCCGGGCUCAACCUGGGAAUUGCGUUGGAGACUGCAAGGCUGGAGUCUGGCAGAGGGGGGUAGAAUUCCACGUGUAGCAGUGAAAUGCGUAGAGAUGUGGAGGAACACCGAUGGCGAAGGCAGCCCCCUGGGUCAAGACUGACGCUCAUGCACGAAAGCGUGGGGAGCAAACAGGAUUAGAUACCCUGGUAGUCCACGCCCUAAACGAUGUCUACUAGUUGUCGGGUCUUAAUUGACUUGGUAACGCAGCUAACGCGUGAAGUAGACCGCCUGGGGAUACGGUCGCAAGAUUAAAACUCAAAAGUAGUAGUAGGACGNGAGAGAGACGACGACGACGACGACGGAGGGAGGAG